This 546-nucleotide long non-coding RNA is filed under the name Homo sapiens (human). RNAcentral describes it as "non-protein coding LINC00575:4". The record is from RNAcentral. Lineage: Eukaryota; Metazoa; Chordata; Mammalia; Primates; Hominidae.
GAAUUGGCACAGAUCCAGAGCAUGGACAAGGACUUACACUUCUGCUGAAGGCAAAGGAGAAACAGCAUUAUCUAAAAAGCAACCAAGACUUCAGGGGAUGAGAACCCACUAACUAUUACAGUCCACGUGUCAGUCGCGUUUCUCAUCGUGAUUAACACCCCAGCCAUUGAUUUGCUCUUCAGUGUCUAGUGAGCAAGGCUACUGUGAAUCUUUCCUCAGGAGGACUGAUGGAGUCACAUUUCUGAGCCUACAGAGCUGAGGGCAAGACCUGAGAAUGGUGAUGUCAAAAUGCCAACCAGCGAGACCUCUUGGUGGCCAGGUGCUUGCUUGUGCUCCUCCUGUGCUUGGACAUCAGACUCCAGGUUCUUCAACCUUUGGACUCUGGGACUUGCACCAGCGGCUUCCCAAGGGUUCUCAGGCCUUAAGCCACAGACUGACGACUGUACUGUCAGCUUCCCUGGUUUUGAGGCUUUUGGACUUGGACUGAGCCACUACUGGCAUCUCUCUUUCCCAGCUUGCAGACAGUCUAUCAUGGGACUUUGCCUU